This 96-nucleotide non-coding RNA is filed under the name Heterosigma akashiwo. Lineage: Eukaryota; Raphidophyceae; Chattonellales; Chattonellaceae. The record is from RNAcentral.
GAGAACAACGCAGAAAUCAUUCAUAUAAUUGAAACAAGAUUAUUAUACUUUUUAAAAUCACAAACAUCAUAUGCUAAUUACUAUACCUUGUAAAAA